GGUUUUCAGGGCAGGGUGUGAUUCCCGACCGGCGGUAAAGUCCGCGACCCAGCGCAAGCUGGUUGAAUUGGUGAGAUUCCAAUACCGACAGUUAAAGUCUGGAUGGAAGAAAACA
Molecule: non-coding RNA, 115 nt
Filed under: Companilactobacillus farciminis
Lineage: Bacteria; Bacillati; Bacillota; Bacilli; Lactobacillales; Lactobacillaceae
Description: FMN riboswitch (RFN element)
Rfam family: FMN riboswitch aptamer (RFN element)
About the family: The RFN element is a highly conserved domain that is found frequently in the 5'-untranslated regions of prokaryotic mRNAs that encode for flavin mononucleotide (FMN) biosynthesis and transport proteins. This element is a metabolite-dependent riboswitch that directly binds FMN in the absence of proteins.
Source: RNAcentral